Molecule: ribosomal RNA, 460 nt
Filed under: uncultured bacterium
Lineage: Bacteria
Description: partial 16S ribosomal RNA
Rfam family: Bacterial small subunit ribosomal RNA
Source: RNAcentral
CCUACGGGUGACAACAGUGAGGAAUAUUGGUCAAUGGACGCGAGUCUGAACCAGCCAAGUAGCGUGAAGGAUGACUGCCCUAUGGGUUGUAAACUUCUUUUAUAUGGGAAUAAAGUGUUCCACGUGUGGGAUUUUGUAUGUACCAUAUGAAUAAGGAUCGGCUAACUCCGUGCCAGCAGCCGCGGUAAUACGGAGGAUCCGAGCGUUAUCCGGAUUUAUUGGGUUUAAAGGGAGCGUAGGUGGAUUGUUAAGUCAGUUGUGAAAGUUUGCGGCUCAACCGUAAAAUUGCAGUUGAAACUGGCAGUCUUGAGUACAGUAGAGGUGGGCGGAAUUCGUGGUGUAGCGGUGAAAUGCUUAGAUAUCACGAAGAACUCCGAUUGCGAAGGCAGUUCACUGGACUGCAACUGACACUGAGGCUCGAAAGUGUGGGUAUCAAACAGGAUUAGAUACCCGUGUAGUC